Molecule: ribosomal RNA, 460 nt
Filed under: uncultured bacterium
Lineage: Bacteria
Description: partial 16S ribosomal RNA
Rfam family: Bacterial small subunit ribosomal RNA
Source: RNAcentral
CCUACGGGGUGCUGCAGUGAGGAAUAUUGGUCAAUGGACGCAAGUCUGAACCAGCCAUGCCGCGUGCAGGAAGACGGCCCUAUGAGUUGUAAACUGCUUUUGUACGAGGAUAAACGCAGAUACGCGUAUCUGUCUGAAAGUAUCGUACGAAUAAGGAUCGGCUAACUCCGUGCCAGCAGCCGCGGUAAUACGGAGGAUUCAAGCGUUAUCCGGAUUUAUUGGGUUUAAAGGGUGCGUAGGCGGUAGGAUAAGUUAGAGGUGAAAUCCCGAGGCUCAACCUCGGAAUUGCCUCUGAUACUGGUCGGCUAGAGAGUAGUUGAGGUAGGCGGAAUGUGUGGUGUAGCGGUGAAAUGCUUAGAGAUCAUACAGAACACCGAUUGCGAAGGCAGCAUACCGAGGUACUACUGACGCUGAGGCACGAAAGAGUGGGGAGCAAACAGGAUUAGAUACCCUAGUAGUC